This 73-nucleotide transfer RNA is filed under the name Mesocricetus auratus (golden hamster). It matches the Rfam family "tRNA". From Rfam's summary of the family: Transfer RNA (tRNA) molecules are approximately 80 nucleotides in length. Their secondary structure includes four short double-helical elements and three loops (D, anti-codon, and T loops). The record is from Rfam by way of RNAcentral. Lineage: Eukaryota; Metazoa; Chordata; Mammalia; Rodentia; Cricetidae.
GAAGAUGUAGCUCAGUUGGUAGAGUGCUUGCCUGGCAUGCACAAAGCCAUGGUUUUAAUUCCCAGCAUUUUUU